Molecule: long non-coding RNA, 475 nt
Organism: Macaca mulatta (Rhesus monkey)
Lineage: Eukaryota; Metazoa; Chordata; Mammalia; Primates; Cercopithecidae
Source: RefSeq, a predicted model, not a curated record
AUCACGCUGGGAACCGCAGACCAGAGCUGUUCCUAUUCGGCCAUCUUGAUCCUACUUCUGAAUGUGAGAUAUUUUUGUAGUAAUUGAAAUUGAGCAGUUAUUAUAGAACUAGUAAUGUCUUGAGUCUUUCAUUCCCUUCAAGUGUGUAACCAAAAAUUAUAAUAUUCUAGCAUGCAGCCUGAUUGUAAAGGAAUGGAAAAGUCCUAUCCAAAGGUUUCAUCCAUCUCUGAAUAUUUAUGAUGAGGGACACUUUGGUUUCAUAUGAGCCAAGGAGCCCCAGCCAUAAACAGAACUCCUGAGAACAACCUUGCAUUGGUCACAAGAAUAAUCUUAUGAUGUCAGGAUCAUGCCAAUUUUACACGAGGAGCAGUGGCACAGGAAGAUAAAGACCCCAUGAUGAGGAGUGGGGGUUGAUGGAGAGACAUAUUCAAGAGAUUUAUAUUCAAAGAAGCAACCAAGAUUCAGAAAGAUGGGG